Molecule: long non-coding RNA, 1855 nt
Organism: Esox lucius (northern pike)
Lineage: Eukaryota; Metazoa; Chordata; Actinopteri; Esociformes; Esocidae
Source: Ensembl
UCUGUGGCCCUGAUUGAUCCUGUGUAGCACAGUUUCAGGAUUUCCCCUAAGGUCUUAACGCAGAACGAUUGUUGAUCUCUCGCUAAUACCGAAGGAAAAAUGUAAUGACUUUGACCGGAUAUAUUUCAAUUCGUCAGGAGUGUCUCCAGCACCUUUCCCGUAUUCCUGAUUCUGUAAGGAAAUGCCUGAAGCGCUACGCUGUGGUGACGAGAGCUGCCGGCUCACGUCCAUCGGAAGUGGAGAGUGGGAGAGAGAUUGUGUGAAUGUAAGCCGUAGGGUUAGGGGGUGAGUUUCUCUCACCACAGCAGCUGCCGCGCUUUGGUCUCAAGUCUCCAAAACCAUAACCCCCAGGUCAGCGUAGCUCGAAUAGCCGAACAUGAAUAGCCUAAAAAUAACACGGUUGCUUUUCACGUGCUGCGUCCUGUUGUUGAUUUUGUUAUUGUCUCCUAUUUCAUUCGGUGACUGGGCAGAGCAUCCCCCCCCUCGAUUUUCACACUUCAGCUCAUGACACAAAUUACCUGUAAUUUAAAACACCCUUCCAUCAUGGUCUUAAUCUGUUCAAGGGAAAAGUCAAUGUCCCUGUGCAUUCAUUUCCCUCUCCAUCUCUCUCCGCCGACCUGACUCACUCUUUUGCUUCCCUCUCCUCUCUUAACUUCGCCUCUCCACUUUUGUCUUCUCGUUCUCUCUGUCUCUCCCUCUACCCUCUCCCUUCUUCUUUCCUUCUCUUACACACAUUACGAUUUAUGGCCUUGGCAAGGCAGUGAAAGAAGAAUAGAAGGACUGUGGUAACCGAGCGUGGAUUUUUGAAGGAAAUUGUGUGUGUGUGUGUGUGUGUGUGUGUGUGUGUGCUCUGUCUGAAUCGACUCCCCUGGCAUUUGGAUGUAAAGCUGAGAUGUAGUGUUGUGCCCAUGAGAGAGAUGGGCCGGACAGUGGAUCCAUACUGGACUACGACGGAGAAAGAGGUGGUAUAUAUCACGAGUUAGGCCCAGUACACCUCCAUCCCAAGGAUGUAAAACCUUGGAAUGAAAGAGAAAAGCAUUACAUCACAUCGUUUUUUCUUUGCACAGCUUCCAAAGUUUUCAAACCACCCGGCUGGUUUAUGAAAUCCAACGAAAUAUGUCAUUAGAAAUCCAUAGACAGUCGCCAGUUGUUUUCCUUGUGGCACAAACAUGGCCGAACCCUUAGCAACGUCUGCACAUUUGUGGUGGAUAUAUUGCAGGUUUCCUAAAUUCAACAGUGUCAGCUUCUUUUAUAUCUCACUAAACGCCAAAGAAACACUGCAACGAAGCAACAGAGAGAAAAGCUCUUGCAGCCAAACACCUUGCCGGUAGAACGCAGGACGGACCGCGUGCCGUAGACCCAAAAGGAACUACGGAAAUACAACGGGCAGUGUAUUGUCUGGGGCUGCAAUGGACCAGAAAUCUUAUUUGGGCCCCAUCAGAGCAUGUUGAACUGCAGGGAUUAUUUGACACAAUGUCAACAGCCACAUUAGGAGGCUCAGGAGCUUUAUUUCCAACACACGCUGCCAAAGUUGGCAGAGAACUUUGUGGAGGGAAGGCUGCAGGCAUUGGCGGUUCCAGGCAAGACAAAUCAAUGAAGCGUUAUCAAGAAUAUCUCUAGCGCCCCUUGUAGAACCAACAAGAAAGAAGAAAAUGGUCUUUCACAAUUUCAAGAUAUAUGAGAAUAUUUCAGCUGGCACAGCUAUAUAACAAUUUUGUAUUUAUGUAUAAUGGGGGGAUUGAAAAUGAACCAUUUUGUAUAAUGAGGGGAUUGCAAAUUAAAAUGUUGUAUAAUGAGGAGAUUGCAAAUGAACAAUUUUGUAUAAUAAGGGAAUUUAAAAAUAACACAUUUUCAU